Molecule: ribosomal RNA, 296 nt
Filed under: Escherichia coli
Lineage: Bacteria; Pseudomonadati; Pseudomonadota; Gammaproteobacteria; Enterobacterales; Enterobacteriaceae
Also listed under: 1 other name
Description: partial 23S ribosomal RNA
Rfam family: Bacterial large subunit ribosomal RNA
Source: RNAcentral
UCCCUAUCUGCCGUGGGCGCUGGAGAACUGAGGGGGGCUGCUCCUAGUACGAGAGGACCGGAGUGGACGCAUCACUGGUGUUCGGGUUGUCAUGCCAAUGGCACUGCCCGGUAGCUAAAUGCGGAAGAGAUAAGUGCUGAAAGCAUCUAAGCACGAAACUUGCCCCGAGAUGAGUUCUCCCUGACUCCUUGAGAGUCCUGAAGGAACGUUGAAGACGACGACGUUGAUAGGCCGGGUGUGUAAGCGCAGCGAUGCGUUGAGCUAACCGGUACUAAUGAACCGUGAGGCUUAACCUU